This is a long non-coding RNA of Hevea brasiliensis (rubber tree), 946 nucleotides long. RefSeq lists it as uncharacterized. The transcript is spliced from 2 exons. Lineage: Eukaryota; Viridiplantae; Streptophyta; Magnoliopsida; Malpighiales; Euphorbiaceae. The record is from RefSeq and is a predicted model, not a curated record.
UACAAUGGUUGCAAUAUACUUGUUCACCAAGUUUUACCUGAUGCAGUUCUUGGUCAUCAAGCAAACCAAAUCUAUAAAUAGGGUGCAAGCUUCAUUUUAAGGGACAACCAAAUCAACACUCAAUCAAUAAUACAAACACAAUGUCUUAGAUUAAUUUUGUUUAAUUCAACAGCCCUUUUAUUUUUCAUCAGUCAAUUUUAGUUUCUCCCAGCAAAUAGCUUUCAAUUUCAUCGUGUUGAUGAAUCCCAAGAACCAAGGAUGAGUCUGAAAGAGAUCUAAACGCUGAAAGCCAAGAUAUGGAAGUAAGAAGAAUUGCACUGGAUGUUUAAAUAUGUACAAAGCCUGUGCAACUUGGUACUAUAGAUUACAGAGUGCAUGGCCCAUGUAUCAAGACCCUACAAUUCUCUAUGCCUUGUGCAACCUUUUGUACAAAGGAAAUCCAAGGAAUAAGAACAACAGACUAUUACACGGCCCAAAAUUGUGCAAAGGAGGGAAAAUACAUGGGUAAUGUAAAGACUCCAUAUAAGAAUUUCAAUUUGACUUUUCUCGUAUAAGGAGGACUUCUAAGGUAAUAAGGACUUUGAAACAAGGGAUUUUACACCAAAUAUAAAUAUAAUGAGUCAGGACUAAAGGAGGGAUUGAAUUUUUACGUUCAAGCAGGCACUUUACUUUUGUGAAGACCAAUGAAGAGAUUGGUUUGACAAGAUUGCUAUAGGAGAUUUCUAGCUAAAGUUCCAAAAGUCCAAAGCUGCAAUUCUCAUUUUAGGUGUUUUUUAUUCUCAUUUCUUUUUAUGUCUUCUCUUUAUUUUUAUUCAACCUUGAUUGUAAAGCUCACCAUGUGUGAGUAGUUUUGUUAUUCUAGGAUUAGGGAUAUAGCACUUUCAAUUCAGUAAUGGAUUUUAAUUGAUUUUAUUUUAAUAAAUUGGGAUUUCUUUUUGUGAUUCAA